CGGGAGCGCGCCCCUGGCGCCGCCCAGUGCUCCUUUCCGGGUCUAUGGCGCUCUAAGCUCCCUCUGCCCAGGGAGGUCCCAAGGGGUUCCGUCGCCCUGUUGCUCGGUGUGUCUCAGCGAGCUCACCUGGAGCUCCCAGAAGCCCGAAAAUGGUGAGUGCCGCUGCCGGGGAUCCCCAGAGGUGGGUGGGAGCGGCCGGGAAAGGGACCCAGCCUCCCGCGGCAGCUGCGGAGUCCCGCGGAGUCUGCUGCGGAAGCCACUCGCUCGUCAGGCAGCCGGACCGGCGUCCUGUCCCGUCGGUCCUCUGACCGGGGGACCCGCUCUGGGCAGUUGGGAGAGCGCAUCCCCGCGCGGCCGGGGACUGCGCGGAGAGGGAGGCGCGAGCGCAGGCUCCCAGCUCGCAGAACCGAGUCCGUCCCUCCUUCCUCCGCGGACCGACCUGAUUGCCUUGAUUUUUCUCGGUGUUUGGGAAGCGGGUUUCGAAUCCGUGAAGAAUUCUCCCCCAAAACUAGGAAAACCGACCUCAGUGAGGCAGUUGCUGUGCGUGGCGAGGGUGGGAGUAGUGGCCCACGAGAAGGAACGACCCGAUUUUAAGACGGAGUUGUACAGGCGGG
This 614-nucleotide long non-coding RNA is filed under the name Marmota monax (woodchuck). The record is from RNAcentral. Lineage: Eukaryota; Metazoa; Chordata; Mammalia; Rodentia; Sciuridae.